This 305-nucleotide ribosomal RNA is filed under the name uncultured bacterium. RNAcentral describes it as "bacterial SSU rRNA". It matches the Rfam family "Bacterial small subunit ribosomal RNA", at positions 335 to 658 of the family's 1533-position model. The record is from RNAcentral.
UGCCUACGGGGGGCAGCAGUGGGGAAUAUUGCACAAUGGGGGAAACCCUGAUGCAGCGACGCCGCGUGAAGGAAGAAGUAUUUCGGUAUGUAAACUUCUAUCAGCAGGGAAGAAAAUGACGGUACCUGACUAAGAAGCCCCGGCUAACUACGUGCCAGCAGCCGCGGUAAUACGUAGGGGGCAAGCGUUAUCCGGAUUUACUGGGUGUAAAGGGAGCGUAGACGGUGCAGCAAGUCUGAUGUGAAAGGUCGGGGCCCAACCCCGGGACUGCAUUGGAAACUGUUGAACUGGAGUACAGGAGAGGG